GCCGGGCUGGCGGAAUCGGUAGACACAACGGAUUUAAAAUCCUGCGGUAGGUGACUACCGUGCCGGUUCAAGUCCGGCCCUCGGCA
This 86-nucleotide transfer RNA is filed under the name Azoarcus sp. Its description in RNAcentral is "transfer RNA Leu (UAA)". It matches the Rfam family "tRNA". Rfam says of the family: Transfer RNA (tRNA) molecules are approximately 80 nucleotides in length. Their secondary structure includes four short double-helical elements and three loops (D, anti-codon, and T loops). Lineage: Bacteria; Pseudomonadati; Pseudomonadota; Betaproteobacteria; Rhodocyclales; Zoogloeaceae. The record is from RNAcentral.